Molecule: ribosomal RNA, 255 nt
Filed under: uncultured bacterium
Lineage: Bacteria
Description: partial 16S ribosomal RNA
Rfam family: Bacterial small subunit ribosomal RNA
Source: RNAcentral
UACAGAGGGUGCAAGCGUUUGUUCGGAAUUAUUGGGCGUAAAGCGCGUGUAGGCGGCUUUGCAAGUCGCGUGUGAAAGCCCCCCGGCUCAACUGGGGAGGGUCACGCGAUACUGAUCGACUGGAAGGCAGGAGAGGGUAGUGGAAUUCCCGGUGUAGUGGUGAAAUGCGUAGAGAUCGGGAGGAACAUCAGUGGCGAAGGCGGCCAUCUGGAUCAACACUGACGCUGAGGCACGAAAGCGUGGGGAGCAAACAGG